AGACCCGAAACCCGGUGAUCUAGCCAUGGGCAGGUUGAAGGUUGGGUAACACUAACUGGAGGACCGAACCGACUAAUGUUGAAAAAUUAGCGGAUGACCUGUGGCUGGGGGUGAAAGGCCAAUCAAACCGGGAGAUAGCUGGUUCUCCCCGAAAGCUAUUUAGGUAGCGCCUCGUGAAUUCAUCUCCGGGGGUAGAGCACUGUUUCGGCUAGGGGGCCAUCCCGGCUUACCAACCCGAUGCAAACUGCGAAUACCGGAGAAUGUUAUCACGGGAGACACACGGCGGGUGCUAACGUCCGUCGUGAAGAGGGAAACAACCCAGACCGCCAGCUAAGGUCCCAAAGUCAUGGUUAAGUGGGAAACGAUGUGGGAAGGCCCAGACAGCCAGGAUGUUGGCUUAGAAGCAGCCAUCAUUUAAAGAAAGCGUAAUAGCUCACUGGUCGAGUCGGCCUGCGCGGAAGAUGUAACGGGGCUAAACCAUGCACCGAAGCUGCGGCAGCGACGCUGAUGCGUUGUUGGGUAGGGGAGCGUUCUGUAAGCCUGCGAAGGUGUGUCGUGAGGCAUGCUGGAGGUAUCAGAAGUGCGAAUGCUGACAUAAGUAACGAUAAAGCGGGUGAAAAGCCCGCUCGCCGGAAGACCAAGGGUUCCUGUCCAACGUUAAUCGGGGCAGGGUGAGUCGACCCCUAAGGCGAGGCCGAAAGGCGUAGUCGAUGGGAAACGGGUUAAUAUUCCCGUACUUGGUGUUACUGCGAAGGGGGGACGGAGAAGGCUAUGUUGGCCGGGCGACGGUUGUCCCGGUUUAAGCGUGUAGGUGUGUGUUCCAGGUAAAUCCGGUUCACUUUAACACUGAGGCGUGAUGACGAGGCACUACGGUGCUGAAGCAACAAAUGCCCUGCUUCCAGGAAAAGCCUCUAAGCAUCAGGUAACAUCAAAUCGUACCCCAAACCGACACAGGUGGUCAGGUAGAGAAUACCAAGGCGCUUGAGAGAACUCGGGUGAAGGAACUAGGCAAAAUGGUGCCGUAACUUCGGGAGAAGGCACGCUGACACGUAGGUGAAGUGAUUUACUCAUGGAGCUGAAGUCAGUCGAAGAUACCAGCUGGCUGCAACUGUUUAUUAAAAACACAGCACUGUGCAAACACGAAAGUGGACGUAUACGGUGUGACGCCUGCCCGGUGCCGGAAGGUUAAUUGAUGGGGUCAGCGCAAGCGAAGCUCCUGAUCGAAGCCCCGGUAAACGGCGGCCGUAACUAUAACGGUCCUAAGGUAGCGAAAUUCCUUGUCGGGUAAGUUCCGACCUGCACGAAUGGCGUAAUGAUGGCCAGGCUGUCUCCACCCGAGACUCAGUGAAAUUGAACUCGCUGUGAAGAUGCAGUGUACCCGCGGCAAGACGGAAAGACCCCGUGAACCUUUACUAUAGCUUGACACUGAACAUUGAGCCUUGAUGUGUAGGAUAGGUGGGAGGCUUUGAAGUGUGGACGCCAGUCUGCAUGGAGCCGACCUUGAAAUACCACCCUUUAAUGUUUGAUGUUCUAACGUGGACCCGUGAUCCGGGUUGCGGACAGUGUCUGGUGGGUAGUUUGACUGGGGCGGUCUCCUCCUAAAGAGUAACGGAGGAGCACGAAGGUUGGCUAAUCCUGGUCGGACAUCAGGAGGUUAGUGCAAUGGCAUAAGCCAGCUUGACUGCGAGCGUGACGGCGCGAGCAGGUGCGAAAGCAGGUCAUAGUGAUCCGGUGGUUCUGAAUGGAAGGGCCAUCGCUCAACGGAUAAAAGGUACUCCGGGGAUAACAGGCUGAUACCGCCCAAGAGUUCAUAUCGACGGCGGUGUUUGGCACCUCGAUGUCGGCUCAUCACAUCCUGGGGCUGAAGUAGGUCCCAAGGGUAUGGCUGUUCGCCAUUUAAAGUGGUACGCGAGCUGGGUUUAGAACGUCGUGAGACAGUUCGGUCCCUAUCUGCCGUGGGCGCUGGAGAACUGAGGGGGGCUGCUCCUAGUACGAGAGGACCGGAGUGGACGCAUCACUGGUGUUCGGGUUGUCAUGCCAAUGGCACUGCCCGGUAGCUAAAUGCGGAAGAGAUAAGUGCUGAAAGCAUCUAAGCACGAAACUUGCCCCGAGAUGAGUUCUCCCUGAGACUUAGAGUCUCCUGAAGGAACGUUGAAGACGACGACGUUGAUAGGCCGGGUGUGUAAGCGCAGCGAUGCGUUGAGCUAACCGGUACUAAUGAACCGUGAGGCUUAACCUU
Molecule: ribosomal RNA, 2239 nt
Filed under: Salmonella enterica subsp. enterica serovar Urbana
Lineage: Bacteria; Pseudomonadati; Pseudomonadota; Gammaproteobacteria; Enterobacterales; Enterobacteriaceae
Description: partial 23S ribosomal RNA
Rfam family: Bacterial large subunit ribosomal RNA
Source: RNAcentral